RNAcentral lists this transfer RNA (76 nucleotides) under compost metagenome. Its description in RNAcentral is "tRNA-Ala". It matches the Rfam family "tRNA". Rfam says of the family: Transfer RNA (tRNA) molecules are approximately 80 nucleotides in length. Their secondary structure includes four short double-helical elements and three loops (D, anti-codon, and T loops). The record is from RNAcentral.
GGGGGUAUAGCUCAGUUGGUAGAGCGCUUCGUUCGCAUCGAAGAGGCCAGCGGUUCGAAUCCGCUUACCUCCACCA